This 253-nucleotide ribosomal RNA is filed under the name uncultured bacterium. RNAcentral's name for it is "partial 16S ribosomal RNA". It matches the Rfam family "Bacterial small subunit ribosomal RNA", at positions 524 to 776 of the family's 1533-position model. The record is from RNAcentral.
UACGUAGGGGGCAAGCGUUGUCCGGAUUUAUUGGGCGUAAAGAGCGUGUAGGCGGCCAGGGAGGUCCGUUGUGAAAACUCGAGGCUCAACCUCGAGCUGUCGGUGGAAACUGUGAGGCUAGAGUCCGGAAGAGGAGAGUGGAAUUCCCGGUGUAGCGGUGAAAUGCGCAGAUAUCGGGAAGAACACCCGUGGCGAAGGCGGCUCUCUGGGACGGUACUGACGCUGAGACGCGAAAGCGUGGGGAGCGAACAGG